AUUGAACGCUGGCGGCAGGCCUAAUACAUGCAAGUCGAACGAGUGGCGGACGGGUGAGUAAUGUCUGGGAAACUGCCAGAUGGAGGGGGAUAACUACUGGAAACGGUAGCUAAUACCGCAUACCAUCGGAUGUGCCAAGAUGGGAUUGGCGAUUCGGUGGGGUACCGGCUCACCUAGGCGACGAUCCCUAGCUGGUCUGAGAGGAUGACCAGCCACACGGGAACUGAGACACGGUCCAGAAUCCUACGGGAGGCAGCAGUGGGGAAUAUUGCACAAUGGGCGCAAGCCGGAUGCAGCCAUGCCGCGUGUAUGAAGAAGGCCUUCGGGUUGUAAAGUACUUUCAGCGAGGAGGCGUUACUCGCAGAAGAAGCACCGGCUAACUCCGUGCCAGCAGCCGCGGUAAUAC
RNAcentral lists this ribosomal RNA (406 nucleotides) under uncultured bacterium. RNAcentral's name for it is "partial 16S ribosomal RNA". It matches the Rfam family "Bacterial small subunit ribosomal RNA", at positions 30 to 526 of the family's 1533-position model. The record is from RNAcentral.